Molecule: ribosomal RNA, 606 nt
Filed under: uncultured Legionella sp.
Lineage: Bacteria; Pseudomonadati; Pseudomonadota; Gammaproteobacteria; Legionellales; Legionellaceae
Description: bacterial SSU rRNA
Rfam family: Bacterial small subunit ribosomal RNA
Source: RNAcentral
CUAUUCUUAGCUGGUCUGAGAGGAUGACCAGCCACACUGGAACUGAGACACGGUCCAGACUCCUACGGGAGGCAGCAGUGGGGAAUAUUGGACAAUGGGGGCAACCCUGAUCCAGCAAUGCCGCGUGUGUGAAGAAGGCCUGAGGGUUGUAAAGCACUUUCAGUGGGGAGGAGGGUUGAUAGGUUAAGAGCUAAUUAACUGGACGUUACCCACAGAAGAAGCACCGGCUAACUCCGUGCCAGCAGCCGCGGUAAUACGGAGGGUGCGAGCGUUAAUCGGAAUUACUGGGCGUAAAGGGUGCGUAGGUGGUUGAUUAAGUUAUCUGUGAAAUUCCUGGGCUUAACCUGGGACGGUCAGAUAAUACUGGUUGACUCGAGUAUGGGAGAGGGUAGUGGAAUUUCCGGUGUAGCGGUGAAAUGCGUAGAGAUCGGAAGGAACACCAGUGGCGAAGGCGGCUGCCUGGCCUAAUACUGACACUGAGGCACGAAAGCGUGGGGAGCAAACAGGAUUAGAUACCCUGGUAGUCCACGCUGUAAACGAUGUCAACUAGCUGUUGGUUAUAUGAAAAUAAUUAGUGGCGCAGCAAACGCGAUAAGUUGACAUCGA